Xenopus laevis (African clawed frog) is the source of this 529-nucleotide long non-coding RNA. RefSeq lists it as uncharacterized. The record is from RefSeq and is a predicted model, not a curated record. The transcript is spliced from 2 exons. Lineage: Eukaryota; Metazoa; Chordata; Amphibia; Anura; Pipidae.
CUAUCUAUCAUGGUGUACAGAGGUAUCCAAGGCCUAAGGCCAGGGGCAGACAGUAAAGAAAGAAUUCCGGCUCAAUUAAUGACUUUACUCUCCUUAAUAAAGACGGGUUCAGUUACAGCUAUUAAUAAAUUACAGACCUAACCCUGCUCACCGUAAAUAACAGUUGGUCCGGGUGCUAGAUGCCCCAGACCCUGCGCUUAAACUUUAAAGACAGGAUCUCCACAGUCUUCAGUAAUGCAUAUAAAUCAAAGUGAAUGAAGCUGAAAUCUUACCCUGCAGUCGUUGUGACCCGAGUGCAGCCAGCCCCGAGUCCGUCUCUAGGGGGAACGCCAACAGCAACACAAUGGAAUAAAGGCAGCACACUCCUGGGUUUCAAAAAUUGAUCGCAUGUCUCCAGAACCGGCAUUGGCUGAAUGUAUCCCAGACUGCUUGUACACAAAAGAGUCCAGUUGCCCUGAAUAAAGGAGGUUGGAUCUGAAAUUAUUGCUUUAAAACCCUGAAGGGAAAGGAAGAGCCUCAGUGUAUUAAG